CCUACGGGUGGCAGCAGUGAGGAAUAUUGGUCAAUGGGCGCGAGCCUGAACCAGCCAAGUAGCGUGAAGGAUGACUGCCCUACGGGUUGUAAACUUCUUUUAUCAAGGAAUAAAGUCAGGCACGUGUGCCUUUAUCUAUUUACUUUAUGAAUAAGGAUCGGCUAACUCCGUGCCAGCAGCCGCGGUAAUGCGGAGGGUCCGAGCGUUAUCCGGAUUUAUUGGGUUGAAAGGGAGCGUAGAUGGGUGGUUAAGUCAGUGGUGAAAGCUGGAGGCUCAACCGUAAAAUUGCAAUUGAUACUGGCAGUCUUGAGUACAGUUGAGGUAGGCGGAAUUCGUGGUGUAGCGGUGAAAUGCUUAGAUAUCACGAAGAACUCCGAUUGCGAAGGCAGCUUACUAAACUGCCACUGACAUUGAUGCUCGAAAGUGUGGGUAUCAAACAGGAUUAGAUACCCGGGUAGUC
RNAcentral lists this ribosomal RNA (460 nucleotides) under uncultured bacterium. RNAcentral's name for it is "partial 16S ribosomal RNA". It matches the Rfam family "Bacterial small subunit ribosomal RNA", at positions 338 to 795 of the family's 1533-position model. The record is from RNAcentral.